RNAcentral lists this ribosomal RNA (253 nucleotides) under uncultured bacterium. Its description in RNAcentral is "partial 16S ribosomal RNA". It matches the Rfam family "Bacterial small subunit ribosomal RNA", at positions 524 to 776 of the family's 1533-position model. The record is from RNAcentral.
UACGGGAGGUGCAAGCGUUGUUCGGAGUGACUGGGCGUAAAGCGCACGUAGGUGGGCUUGUAAGUCGGAUGUGAAAUCCCUGGGCUUAACCUAGGAACUGCAUCCGAAACUAUGAGUCUUGAAUGCUGCAGAGGUUGGUAGAAUUCCAGGUGUAGGAGUGAAAUCCGUAGAUAUCUGGAGGAAUACCGGAGGCGAAGGCGGCCAACUGGGAAUGCAUUGACACUGAGGUGCGAAAGCGUGGGGAGCAAACAGG